CAGAAUGUUAAAAAUAGCUGAAAAAUAGCAUUUAAGUACUCUAUAAUAUAGUACUGUACACACAAUUAACAUAUUACAUACAAUAAACACUUGGAAUUAAUAUAACAAUUUCCCUGGUGGAUUUUGUCCAUUAUAUCAAACAUCCGUUAUAUCGAGGUCCUAGAAUUAAAAGAUGAAUAAAGUGUGCAUUGUGAAAACAGUUUACUGUAAUUUCCGGCAUAUAAGGCACACUUUUGCAGAAGAAAAGUCUUGGAAAAUCAGCCUCCACCUUAUAUGCUCAAGGUCAGGGUCAAGGGUAGACUCUGGGUUAUUGGCAAGUGGUGUUUUAUAAAUUGACAUGCAGUUCAUUAUAGUAAUAAAGUUGUACUGCAGUAGUUCCCCCCACCUGUAUCCAUGGGAGAUAUGUUCAUGCAGUUCAUUAUAGUAAUAAAGCUGUAAUGCAGUAGUCCCUUGUAUCUGAGGGGAAUACAUUCCAAGACCUACCAUGGAUACCUGAAACCAUGGAUAGUAGCGAACCCCAAAACAUGUUGUUUUUUGUUUACAUACAUAACUGUGAUAAAGUUUAAUUCAUAAAUUAUGCACAAUGACUCAAGAAUUAUCACUUUUUCACUGAUGGGAAGUACUUCAAGGCUUGUCUUAGGCUUUGAAAAACUACCAUUAUCACUACUUUGGUGCUUGGGGCCAUUAUUAAUUAAAAUUAGGGAUUAUUUUAAGGCCAUGGUAAACCGUGGAUAACUGAAACUGCUGAAACUGAAUCCGUAGAUACGGGGGUUCCACUGUAUUCUCAAUAUGCUGGAAAAUAUGGUACUGAGAACACACCUGUCAGGUGAUACUGUAACUCAGUGCAAAAGCAUUUGGCUUAUAACUGAAGGGACCCAGGUUUAAUCUCCAGGCAAGGUGAGAGUUAUGGUCAAGUCUCCUUACAUCUGUUGCCUUCAUUCAACUAACUUUAAACAGGUGUCCAGGUGUUGGCCAACUGGUAAGGGAGUGCAUCCUGAGGAAGAGCACCAUUGGUGUCCAAUAGAAAUAAGCUGUACUGCUUGGCUAGGCUUUCUAGCAUUAUCCUGGGUUACUAACCCUCUGGGAUACAUGAAUCAAUGAACGUCUUCAUCUCCCAGAUUAUUGUUAAGGGAUUAUAGGUUAGACAACAAUACAGAGCACCAAGUUUAAAGGAAGAAUUAAGUAAUGUACUCUACUGGUUGAUAAGUAAGAUACUUGUGCAACCUUUGGGUAACUUUAUUCUGCAAAUGUUUUGCCAGCCAGUGGCUUCAGUCCGAUACAGAGAAAAGUGGAAGAUGAGGAGGAGUUUGAGGGACUGAUAACACUGGACUGAAGAAGCCACUGACUGGAGAAACAUUUCUGCAAUAAAGAUACCCAAAUGUUGCACAAGUGUGUCAUUUAUCAUAUAUUGUAACAGUAUUAUAGUAACACUCAUAUAAACAACUGUUACACUAGCAGAAAACUUUAUUAAGUACAGUUGUGGACCAACAUUUUUGUGACCUUGAAGCUUGAACUGUUGUGGGGUCAUGUGACCUUGAAGCUUGAACUGUUGUGGGGUCAUGUGACCUUGAAGCUUGAACUGUUGUGGGGUCACCUUCACAACCAGCAAUGGCUAGCAACAUGAUACUUUAAUGACCUUUUAUUUUUAUUUUAAAAACCCUUUCUCAUAUAGUAGACCCAAAAUUUUUAAGCAAUGUGGAUUAAAGUCACUUCUGGGGCCCCUCAGGGAUUAGGGGCCCUGAAGCUUAAUCUCCAUUAGUUUUGUAGUAUAUCUUCCCCUGUUUAAGUACCUUAAUAAAGUACCUUAAUAAAGUUUCUACAAGUUUAUUAAAUUUAAACAAGGUGUAACCUUGUAUAAAUAAAAGAUGUGCUGGUAUAAGUAUGCAAUAAAAACAAGAGGGCAG
This is a non-coding RNA of Cherax quadricarinatus, 1904 nucleotides long. The record is from RefSeq and is a predicted model, not a curated record. Lineage: Eukaryota; Metazoa; Arthropoda; Malacostraca; Decapoda; Parastacidae.